GCCAGGCAUGGUGGCUCAUGCCUGUAGUCCCAACUACUUGGAGGCUGAGGAAGGAGGAUCCCUUGAGCCCAGGAGGUUGAAGCUGCAGUGAGCCUUGAUUGUGCCACUGCACCACAGCUUGGACAACAGAGUGAGACCCUGUCUCUA
RNAcentral lists this non-coding RNA (147 nucleotides) under Gorilla gorilla gorilla (western lowland gorilla). The record is from Rfam by way of RNAcentral. Lineage: Eukaryota; Metazoa; Chordata; Mammalia; Primates; Hominidae.